CAGCGCUGAAAUACAAGGCCUUUUAUGUGUGUAGAACAAGGAGUGGCAGAACAACUCUCCUGUUGUUUCCCAGCUGCAUAGCAACCCAGCCUGCUCUAAAGGUGCCUAUAGACCUUGUUUUUCAGGGCACUGUGACUUAUCUUUCUGGAAAACUUACAUAACAGACAAUGUUUAGUUGAGAAGAAUGCUGUGAAAAAUUUCACUUGCGCUGUGGACACCGUAUCUUCUGGCCUUACUGUAAUAUACCAGGUCCAGUGUCAGCUGCUAUAGUGCACCACUACUGUGAAGGAUUUCAAGAACUGCAGAUAUAGCGUCAGGGAGUGCAGAUGGGCAAAAGAAACAUUAAGUUGGAAAUCAGCUGGGAAAACUGAGCUCUGCCACAUAAAACUAUCCUCCGAAGCAUCUACUGGGAUCCUCUGAAGCCAUCUAGUGGGAAAGAACAAUACAGAGAAUGAUUACUUGAGGAAAUUGUACUAUAAUUCCAGUGGAAUGUGAGAAAAAAAAAUCUGCUGUGCAAACUUAAAACAAAGUAUCUUAACCAUUUUGACACACAAAAUAGUUUUACCUUGGGAUGCCCUG
RNAcentral lists this long non-coding RNA (579 nucleotides) under Gallus gallus (chicken). Its description in RNAcentral is "long non-coding RNA NONGGAT004344". The record is from RNAcentral. Lineage: Eukaryota; Metazoa; Chordata; Aves; Galliformes; Phasianidae.